RNAcentral lists this ribosomal RNA (397 nucleotides) under uncultured Neocallimastigomycetes. RNAcentral's name for it is "eukaryotic LSU rRNA". It matches the Rfam family "Eukaryotic large subunit ribosomal RNA", at positions 127 to 520 of the family's 3401-position model. The record is from RNAcentral. Lineage: Eukaryota; Fungi; Neocallimastigomycota; Neocallimastigomycetes.
GUUUUACCUUGACGAAUUGUAGUUUAAAGAAGUGUUUUCUGUUGAAGUUUCGGUAAAAGUUCUUUGGAAUAGGACAUCAUAGAGGGUGAGAAUCCCGUAUUUGACCAUUAUUUUCAGCUGUGUGAUACACUUUCAAAGAGUCGGAUUGUUUGGGAAUGCAGUCCAAAAUGGGUGGUAAAUUUCAUCUAAAGCUAAAUAUUGGCGAGAGACCGAUAGCGAACAAGUACCGUGAGGGAAAGAUAAAAAGAACUUUGAAAAGAGAGUUAAACAGUACGUGAAAUUGUCAAAAGGGAAGCGUUUGACACCAGUGUUGUUUUCUCGAAAAUCAAUUAAAAAAAGUUGGAUUUUGUGUUGUAUUGACCUUAACAGCUUGCUGCACUCUUUUCCUGCUUUUUUU